UACGAAGGGGGCUAGCGUUGCUCGGAUUUACUGGGCGUAAAGGGCGCGUAGGCGGAUAGUACAGUCAGGCGUGAAAUUCCUGGGCUCAACCUGGGGGCUGCGUUUGAUACGUGUUGUCUGGAGUUCGGAAGAGGGUCGUGGAAUUCCCAGUGUAGAGGUGAAAUUCGUAGAUAUUGGGAAGAACACCGGUGGCGAAGGCGGCUCUCUGGACCGAGACUGACGCUGAGGCGCGAAAGCGUGGGGAGCAAACAGG
Molecule: ribosomal RNA, 253 nt
Filed under: uncultured bacterium
Lineage: Bacteria
Description: partial 16S ribosomal RNA
Rfam family: Bacterial small subunit ribosomal RNA
Source: RNAcentral